RNAcentral lists this unclassified non-coding RNA (421 nucleotides) under soil metagenome. Its description in RNAcentral is "partial contains 5.8S ribosomal RNA, internal transcribed spacer 2, and large subunit ribosomal RNA". The stretch from base 1 to 120 matches the Rfam family "5.8S ribosomal RNA", at positions 35 to 154 of the family's 154-position model. The record is from RNAcentral.
GAUGAAGAACUUAGCGAAAUGCGAUACGUAAUGUGAAUUGCAGAAUUCAGUGAAUCAUCGAAUCUUUGAACGCAUAUUGCGCUCUUUGGUAUUCCGAAGAGCAUGCUUGUUUGAGUAUCAGUAAACACCUCAACCUCUUCUUGAUUUUUCAAAAGGAGGGUGGACUUGAGCUAUCCCAACAACCUUUACCGGUCGGCGGGCGGCUUGAAAUGCAGGUGCAGCUGGACUUUUAUCUGAGCUAAAAGCAUAUCUAUUUAGUCCUCGUCAAACAGGAUUAUUACUUUUGCUGCAGCUAACAUAAAGGAUAAUUGUCCUCUUUGCUGACUGAUGCAGGAUUUUACGACACUUUAUGUGUUGUUCAACUCGAUCUCAAAUCAAGUAAGACUACCCGCUGAACUUAAGCAUAUCAAUAAGCGGAGGA